RNAcentral lists this long non-coding RNA (397 nucleotides) under Heterocephalus glaber (naked mole-rat). RNAcentral's name for it is "lncRNA (ENSHGLG00000035919.1)". The record is from RNAcentral. Lineage: Eukaryota; Metazoa; Chordata; Mammalia; Rodentia; Bathyergidae.
CCCGGCUCCUGAAGGCUUUGCAGAGGAGGUCUCUUGGCAAUAAGCCGCUUUAGCUUGUUUCGAACUCGGUUCUGCUCAGUGCCUUCAGGACACCGACCUGUAGGAGGCGGGGUACAGCAAUUCCAAGCCCAGGAGCGGCGCCGGACCUCCCUCCGCGCCCAAAGCCAGGCCAUCCCGGAGCCCGCCCCAUACUGGAGCUCCGGCGGCUGCUGAACCGCAGCAGCGGCUUGAGCAGCGGCUCGGACUCCUCUUCCUCAUCCUCCUCAGCGCUCAGUUCCGCCAGUUCUGCCGGUCCAGAGCCAGACAGGCGCAGCUCCAGGGGGUUCUCCCGGUCCUGCACCCAGGGAGGCAGGCUCUCCCCACCUCCCCUCAGUCAGCCGCGGCCGGAAGCUCCAAC